Molecule: ribosomal RNA, 749 nt
Filed under: Staphylococcus aureus
Lineage: Bacteria; Bacillati; Bacillota; Bacilli; Caryophanales; Staphylococcaceae
Description: partial 23S ribosomal RNA
Rfam family: Bacterial large subunit ribosomal RNA
Source: RNAcentral
GACGGAGCACGUGAAAUUCCGUCGGAAUCUGGGAGGACCAUCUCCUAAGGCUAAAUACUCUCUAGUGACCGAUAGUGAACCAGUACCGUGAGGGAAAGGUGAAAAGCACCCCGGAAGGGGAGUGAAAUAGAACCUGAAACCGUGUGCUUACAAGUAGUCAGAGCCCGUUAAUGGGUGAUGGCGUGCCUUUUGUAGAAUGAACCGGCGAGUUACGAUUUGAUGCAAGGUUAAGCAGUAAAUGUGGAGCCGUAGCGAAAGCGAGUCUGAAUAGGGCGUUUAGUAUUUGGUCGUAGACCCGAAACCAGGUGAUCUACCCUUGGUCAGGUUGAAGUUCAGGUAACACUGAAUGGAGGACCGAACCGACUUACGUUGAAAAGUGAGCGGAUGAACUGAGGGUAGCGGAGAAAUUCCAAUCGAACCUGGAGAUAGCUGGUUCUCUCCGAAAUAGCUUUAGGGCUAGCCUCAAGUGAUGAUUAUUGGAGGUAGAGCACUGUUUGGACGAGGGGCCCCUCUCGGGUUACCGAAUUCAGACAAACUCCGAAUGCCAAUUAAUUUAACUUGGGAGUCAGAACAUGGGUGAUAAGGUCCGUGUUCGAAAGGGAAACAGCCCAGACCACCAGCUAAGGUCCCAAAAUAUAUGUUAAGUGGAAAAGGAUGUGGCGUUGCCCAGACAACUAGGAUGUUGGCUUAGAAGCAGCCAUCAUUUAAAGAGUGCGUAAUAGCUCACUAGUCGAGUGACACUGCGCCGA